This 253-nucleotide ribosomal RNA is filed under the name uncultured prokaryote. RNAcentral's name for it is "partial 16S ribosomal RNA". It matches the Rfam family "Bacterial small subunit ribosomal RNA", at positions 524 to 776 of the family's 1533-position model. The record is from RNAcentral.
UACGUAGGGUGCGAGCGUUAAUCGGAAUUACUGGGCGUAAAGUGUGCGCAGGCGGCCGAGCAAGUCGAGUGUGAAAGCCCCGAGCUUAACUUGGGAACUGCGCUCGAAACUACUUGGCUGGAGUGUGGCAGAGGGAGGUGGAAUUCCUGGUGUAGCAGUGAAAUGCGUAGAUAUCAGGAGGAAUACCGAUGGCGAAGGCAGGUCUCUGGGCUGACACUGACGCUCAUGCACGAAAGCGUGGGGAGCAAACAGG